UGCUGAGGUUCGCUUACGUUGGUGAAACGUUUCUUCGUCAUAUAGUCAACGCGGAUUGGUAUGUGCGCUCAGUAGCAGCCCGGACAGCGAUUCAGGGAGGUGUACGACUCUGUUUAAGGAUUUUGGGAAGCAAGCCAGUGUGGGAAAUCUAAUCUCACCGAGAUGAUUGCUUGGCAGAAUGUUUGUUUAUUCGCUUCCUGUGUGCGUGCAGAGCCAAGAUCUGUAGUAGAGAAUCUUUGAGAAACCAAGAGUUAAAGGAGUGGGUAAUGUUACAUUGGUAAGAUACUUGCCAACAGGUAACAUGGGUUUGGUAAGGCUCGUGAAGAAAAAUGUAAAGUUAAAUCUUUUUUGGGAAUUCACGAAAAUUGUGUGUUUGGCAUUUAUUUUUUUCUGGUUUAAUUUUACAGUUUUCUUCACUCUGUUCAAAUAAGGCAUUAUAACAGACAUUAUAAUUUCACUGUAAAGGUUUUGGUGUGCCCAUUAAAAAAAUUCAAGAAAAGCUUCAGUAAGAUUGUAUUUACAGUACGUGAGUGAUCACUUUCAGCAUUGGACAUAAAACUUUGUAGAAAUUGAUGUUUCUCGGGCAUAUGCUAUAUUUCUCCACUGAGAACUCUUUAUCUGUUCUAAUUAAACCUUGUGCUUAUUUGAUCAGAUGAGCCUGGUUGUUCAAAUGAUUUCAUUGGAUAUGGUAACAUCAUUCAGAUCUUGACAUAGCCUGUAAUCUAGUGAAUUGAAUUGACACCUGAUGGUGUUGGACAGUUAUUGAUAUUUUGCUUAUUGUUUGUAUGAAUAAAAUUGUAAUUAUUGAACAUGAAAAAACAAGUUACUCCUUAUUUACAAUGUAUUUUAGAGAUAGUGUGUCUUGAACUAACCAGUGUUGCAGAUGGAGGGAAGUGGCUUUAGAGCUUGUUGAGAGCGGAGGUGGAGACAAUUGAAGUGUUGAUGUGGUUGCGGUCUCAC
This 960-nucleotide unclassified non-coding RNA is filed under the name Haliotis rubra (blacklip abalone). RNAcentral's name for it is "uncharacterized LOC124278623, transcript variant X3". Lineage: Eukaryota; Metazoa; Mollusca; Gastropoda; Lepetellida; Haliotidae. The record is from RNAcentral.